UCCUCCCUUACCUUGUUUGUCGAUUCAAUGUACCUAGACAAGGUGUAAUACACCUUUUGUGUUUCAUCUUUUUUUUUCCUCUCCAUAUUGUUGUUCCUCUCCUUUGCUCCUCCAUUUUCUCUCCAUUUUUCUUUUGCUUUAGCCAUCUACCAUCACUUUUGCCCUAUUUUCCUCCUCUCCUCCACCAUUUUUUUGCCACCCGAACCAUCACCAAACCUCCCCUUUGCCAUCGCU
RNAcentral lists this long non-coding RNA (234 nucleotides) under Gossypium raimondii (Peruvian cotton). Its description in RNAcentral is "long non-coding RNA (GRAI_LNC003172)". Lineage: Eukaryota; Viridiplantae; Streptophyta; Magnoliopsida; Malvales; Malvaceae. The record is from RNAcentral.